GACGAACGCUGGCGGCGUGCUUAACACAUGCAAGUCGAGCGGUAAGGCCCUUUCGGGGGUACACGAGCGGCGAACGGGUGAGUAACACGUGGGUGACCUGCCCUCAGCUCUGGGAUAAGCCUGGGAAACUGGGUCUAAUACUGGAUAUGACUCCACGGUGCAUGUCGUGGGGUGGAAAGCCUUGUGCGGCUGAGGAUGGGCCCGCGGCCUAUCAGCUUGUUGGUGGGGUGANGGCCUACCAAGGCGACGACGGGUAGCCGGCCUGAGAGGGCGACCGGCCACACUGGGACUGAGACACGACCCAGACUCCUACGGGAGGCAGCAGUGGGGAAUCUUGCGCAAUGGGCGAAAGCCUGACGCAGCGACGCCGCGUGAGGGAUGACGGCCU
This 388-nucleotide ribosomal RNA is filed under the name uncultured bacterium. RNAcentral's name for it is "bacterial SSU rRNA". It matches the Rfam family "Bacterial small subunit ribosomal RNA", at positions 28 to 417 of the family's 1533-position model. The record is from RNAcentral.